This 253-nucleotide ribosomal RNA is filed under the name uncultured bacterium. RNAcentral's name for it is "partial 16S ribosomal RNA". It matches the Rfam family "Bacterial small subunit ribosomal RNA", at positions 524 to 776 of the family's 1533-position model. The record is from RNAcentral.
UACGUAGGGUGCGAGCGUUACUCGGAAUUACUGGGCGUAAAGCGUGCGUAGGCGGUUCGUUAAGUUCGUUGUGAAAGCCCCGGGCUCAACCUGGGAAUGGCAAUGGAAACUGGCGGGCUGGAGUAUGGCAGAGGGGGGUGGAAUUCCGCGUGUAGCAGUGAAAUGCGUAGAGAUGCGGAGGAACACCGAUGGCGAAGGCAGCCCCCUGGGCCAAUACUGACGCCCAGGCACGAAAGCGUGGGGAGCAAACAGG